AGCGUACACGGUGGAUGCCCUGGCAGUCAGAGGCGAUGAAGGACGUGCUAAUCUGCGAAAAGCGUCGGUAAGGUGAUAUGAACCGUUAUAACCGGCGAUGUCCGAAUGGGGAAACCCAGUGCGAUUCGUUGCACUAUCGUUAACUGAAUACAUAGGUUAACGAGGCGAACCGGGGGAACUGAAACAUCUAAGUACCCCGAGGAAAAGAAAUCAACCGAGAUUCCCCCAGUAGCGGCGAGCGAACGGGGAGCAGCCCAGAGUCUGAAUCAGCUUGUGUGUUAGUGGAACGGUCUGGAAAGUCCGACGGUACAGGGUGAUAGUCCCGUACACCAAAAUGCACAGGUUGUGAACUCGAAGAGUAGGGCGGGACACGUGGUAUCCUGUCUGAAUAUGGGGGGACCAUCCUCCAAGGCUAAAUACUCCUGACUGACCGAUAGUGAACCAGUACCGUGAGGGAAAGGCGAAAAGAACCCCGGCGAGGGGAGUGAAAAAGAACCUGAAACCGUGUACGUACAAGCAGUGGGAGCACCUUCGGGUGUGACUGCGUACCUUUUGUAUAAUGGGUCAGCGACUUAUAUUCUGUAGCAAGGUUAACCGUAUAGGGGAGCCGCAGGGAAACCGAGUCUUAACUGGGCGUUAAGUUGCAGGGUAUAGACCCGAAACCCGGUGAUCUAGCCAUGGGCAGGUUGAAGGUUGGGUAACACUAACUGGAGGACCGAACCGACUAAUGUUGAAAAAUUAGCGGAUGACUUGUGGCUGGGGGUGAAAGGCCAAUCAAACCGGGAGAUAGCUGGUUCUCCCCGAAAGCUAUUUAGGUAGCGCCUCGUGAAUUCAUCUUCGGGGGUAGAGCACUGUUUCGGCUAGGGGGUCAUCCCGACUUACCAACCCGAUGCAAACUACGAAUACCGAAGAAUGUUAUCACGGGAGACACACGGCGGGUGCUAACGUCCGUCGUGAAGAGGGAAACAACCCAGACCGCCAGCUAAGGUCCCAAAGUCAUGGUUAAGUGGGAAACGAUGUGGGAAGGCACAGACAGCCAGGAUGUUGGCUUAGAAGCAGCCAUCAUUUAAAGAAAGCGUAAUAGCUCACUGGUCGAGUCGGCCUGCGCGGAAGAUGUAACGGGGCUAAACCAUGCACCGAAGCUGCGGCAGCGACACUAUGUGUUGUUGGGUAGGGGAGCGUUCUGUAAGCCUGCGAAGGUGUGCUGUGAGGCAUGCUGGAGGUAUCAGAAGUGCGAAUGCUGACAUAAGUAACGAUAAAGCGGGUGAAAAGCCCGCUCGCCGGAAGACCAAGGGUUCCUGUCCAACGUUAAUCGGGGCAGGGUGAGUCGACCCCUAAGGCGAGGCCGAAAGGCGUAGUCGAUGGGAAACAGGUUAAUAUUCCUGUACUUGGUGUUACUGCGAAGGGGGGACGGAGAAGGCUAUGUUAGCCGGGCGACGGUUGUCCCGGUUUAAGCAUGUAGGCUGGUUAUCCAGGCAAAUCCGGAUAAUCAAGGCUGAGGUGUGAUGACGAGGCACUACGGUGCUGAAGUAACAAAUGCCCUGCUUCCAGGAAAAGCCUCUAAGCAUCAGGUAACAUCAAAUCGUACCCCAAACCGACACAGGUGGUCAGGUAGAGAAUACCAAGGCGCUUGAGAGAACUCGGGUGAAGGAACUAGGCAAAAUGGUGCCGUAACUUCGGGAGAAGGCACGCUGGUGUGUAGGUGAAGCCCCUGCGGGUGGAGCUGAGACCAGUCGAAGAUACCAGCUGGCUGCAACUGUUUAUUAAAAACACAGCACUGUGCAAACACGAAAGUGGACGUAUACGGUGUGACGCCUGCCCGGUGCCGGAAGGUUAAUUGAUGGGGUUAUCCGUAAGGAGAAGCUCUUGAUCGAAGCCCCGGUAAACGGCGGCCGUAACUAUAACGGUCCUAAGGUAGCGAAAUUCCUUGUCGGGUAAGUUCCGACCUGCACGAAUGGCGUAAUGAUGGCCAGGCUGUCUCCACCCGAGACUCAGUGAAAUUGAACUCGCUGUGAAGAUGCAGUGUACCCGCGGCAAGACGGAAAGACCCCGUGAACCUUUACUAUAGCUUGACACUGAACAUUGAGCCUUGAUGUGUAGGAUAGGUGGGAGGCUUUGAAGCGUGGACGCCAGUCUGCGUGGAGCCAACCUUGAAAUACCACCCUUUAAUGUUUGAUGUUCUAACGUUGGCCCCUUAUCGGGGUUGCGGACAGUGUCUGGUGGGUAGUUUGACUGGGGCGGUCUCCUCCCAAAGCGUAACGGAGGAGCACGAAGGUUAGCUAAUCCUGGUCGGACAUCAGGAGGUUAGUGCAAUGGCAUAAGCUAGCUUGACUGCGAGCGUGACGGCGCGAGCAGGUGCGAAAGCAGGUCAUAGUGAUCCGGUGGUUCUGAAUGGAAGGGCCAUCGCUCAACGGAUAAAAGGUACUCCGGGGAUAACAGGCUGAUACCGCCCAAGAGUUCAUAUCGACGGCGGUGUUUGGCACCUCGAUGUCGGCUCAUCACAUCCUGGGGCUGAAGUAGGUCCCAAGGGUAUGGCUGUUCGCCAUUUAAAGUGGUACGCGAGCUGGGUUUAGAACGUCGUGAGACAGUUCGGUCCCUAUCUGCCGUGGGCGCUGGAGAAUUGAGGGGGGCUGCUCCUAGUACGAGAGGACCGGAGUGGACGCAUCACUGGUGUUCGGGUUGUCAUGCCAAUGGCACUGCCCGGUAGCUAAAUGCGGAAGAGAUAAGUGCUGAAAGCAUCUAAGCACGAAACUUGCCCCGAGAUGAGUUCU
This 2771-nucleotide ribosomal RNA is filed under the name Klebsiella pneumoniae. RNAcentral's name for it is "bacterial LSU rRNA". It matches the Rfam family "Bacterial large subunit ribosomal RNA". Lineage: Bacteria; Pseudomonadati; Pseudomonadota; Gammaproteobacteria; Enterobacterales; Enterobacteriaceae. The record is from RNAcentral.